Molecule: long non-coding RNA, 1913 nt
Filed under: Taeniopygia guttata (zebra finch)
Lineage: Eukaryota; Metazoa; Chordata; Aves; Passeriformes; Estrildidae
Description: lncRNA (ENSTGUG00000019163.1)
Source: RNAcentral
GUUGCUAUCACGCUAGCGUGGUAUCGUGGAGGAAGGGAUUUAGAAAGGCCUUGGGGAAUUGGAAGCUGAGGAAAAGAUACAUUUAGGUAUGAGGGAAAGAUACAUUUAUGUAUGCCCCAUUGUUUCGGGAAAGCUUCGCUUCAGCACCUUUCUGUAAGCCCCCUUCUCCCCACCCCUGAGCAGUUCCCAUUGGACCUGACCCCUGGGGUGGUUCUGAUGAGCCCAUGCUGAACACUGUCUCUAUUGUUUAGACCUUAUCUCUUAAUUUUGCUGUAUAAAACUGUAUCUGGGCAGUAGCCCAGGGUCUUUUGUCCCUGCAACUGUUCAGGCAAUACAAUCUUUCUGGACUGCAUACAACUGACCUCUCUUUGUCUCUUUAUCUCGACUCCUUGCGGCGACCGAGGUGCCGCAGCCGCUCGGACCGUGCUAACCCAGCCGCUGUCUGGUAAGCCCAGUGCAGCGGGACCGCGGCAAACCCCGGUCCCCUGAGGGGACAGCUAGCCGGAGGGGCCCCGGGGGGCCGGGGAGGGACGGGGGACAGCUGCAAGUGACCCCCGAAAGCCGCAAGUGGCGCCCAACGUGGGGCAUUGCAUCGGUUUGAGCGAACACGCCGCGGCCGCCGCGGGCAGUGCACCGGUUGGGAGCUUUUCCGGACACUGCGAUCGGUGUCGCCGCGAGCGACAGAGCGGCGAGCGGUGCGAAAAAAUCGCCACGCAGGCUGUCAGCUCCGCGGGGAGAAGCUCUCGGACCGCGCUGGUGGUGGGGCACUCGCCCUUCCACACAAGCCCGGCAGGACUGCCACCGCGGGGACAGGCACCGAUUUCUGUCCGGCGCUGUACCCGUGGAUGCGAACGGGACCUUCCAAACACCCGGAAGACUGUUUGCGGAGUCGGGAACCGUUGCUGCAGUGUGUUUUCUGAAGAACGGCGGUUGUCUGUUGCAGAGCCGUUCAUGGAUUUUGUGGAUCGAGUGAGAGCUUCAGUCGAGAAAAGGGUACAAAAUCCAGAGCUCCAAGAUCAGCUCACACUCGAAAUUGCCACCACAAAUGCAAAUGAAGCCUGUCAGCGAGUCAUCCUGGCCCUUCCAGCAUCGCCUCCACCCACACUCGAUCAGCUCAUUGAGGAGUGCACGAGAAAAGCUACACUAAUGACAAGGGACUCAGUGACAAAACCACGGGGGAAAGUGAUUGCAGAGGCAAUGGUAACCCCAAAAACACCAAGGGCUGCCAAGCCUCCUGCACCCAAACGCCGAUGCUAUUUCUGUAACCAGGAGGGACAUCUCAUAGGCCAGUGCCCUCUGAGGGGGAAAGCGGGGGCGGGGGAGGUCUCCAAUCAGCAAAAAAACUGAUUGGGGAGCGCGGUCCUAUCCCGCGUGAUGACACAAAUGGGGUGGGCCAAGGUGUUGUGGCCAGAGCUGCUGUUCACCACAUUGUACCUAGUGUCAGCAGCCAAGCUUACACCACUGAUAAGACCGAACCUUACCGAUUGAGACUCACUAAACCUGUUCAUUUUUCUAAUCAGGACUGGCAUUUCAUCACAGCCACAGCAGAGCUCCUGCCCCGCAUUCGGGACUGCGAAACUCGCAGACGGAAUGAUCUACUAAACUGCAAGUACCUUGUCAUUGGGGACACAAAGUACACUCCUAAGGAGAUAGAAAUCCCUCCUGGCAUCGUUUCACUCGAUCCCAGGACCUUCUAUCUCAUGGCACGCUGUGUCCACCCUCCUCUCUUCCUGGCGGAGGGACAGAUCAUUGCGCAGGCCAUUCCAGUGCCCCAUCUUUUGUGUGAUGAUCAUGCCCUCUCAGUCUUUUACACCGAGACGCUGGGAGAGGAGAAACCCCUUGUGUGGUGUGGCCUCCAGAGCGAGGGCCAUUCCGUUCUCCUUCAGGGGAUGAUGGACACCGGGGCAGAUGUG